RNAcentral lists this ribosomal RNA (557 nucleotides) under uncultured bacterium. RNAcentral describes it as "bacterial SSU rRNA". It matches the Rfam family "Bacterial small subunit ribosomal RNA", at positions 102 to 694 of the family's 1533-position model. The record is from RNAcentral.
ACGGGUGCGUAACGCGUGGGAAUCUGCCCUUGGGUUCGGAAUAACAGUUAGAAAUGACUGCUAAUACCGGAUGAUGUCUUCGGACCAAAGAUUUAUCGCCCAAGGAUGAGCCCGCGUAAGAUUAGCUAGUUGGUGGGGUAAUGGCCCACCAAGGCGACGAUCUUUAGCUGGUCUGAGAGGAUGAUCAGCCACACUGGGACUGAGACACGGCCCAGACUCCUACGGGAGGCAGCAGUGGGGAAUGUUGGACAAUGGGCGAAAGCCUGAUCCAGCAAUGCCGCGUGAGUGAUGAAGGCCUUAGGGUUGUAAAGCUCUUUUACCAGGGAUGAUAAUGACAGUACCUGGAGAAUAAGCUCCGGCUAACUCCGUGCCAGCAGCCGCGGUAAUACGGAGGGAGCUAGCGUUGUUCGGAAUUACUGGGCGUAAAGCGUACGUAGGCGGUUAUUCAAGUCAGAGGUGAAAGCCCGGGGCUCAACCCCGGAACGGCCUUUGAAACUAGAUAGCUAGAGUCUUGGAGAGGUUAGUGGAAUUCCGAGUGUAGAGGUGAAAUUCGUAGA